RNAcentral lists this long non-coding RNA (1049 nucleotides) under Chinchilla lanigera (long-tailed chinchilla). RNAcentral describes it as "lncRNA (ENSCLAG00000025033.1)". Lineage: Eukaryota; Metazoa; Chordata; Mammalia; Rodentia; Chinchillidae. The record is from RNAcentral.
GCACAGUUCUGGGAGUGUCUGUGGAUCGCUGAAAUGUAGGCGGGAAGACCAACCUGGAAGUGGAUGACACCGACAAUGGGCUUGUAGCCUGGAUGGAAUAAAAAGGGAAGGAAAAAGGAAGUCUUCCUGCUCUUCUGUGGAGGAGCCCCCCUCUUCACCCUCGCCUUGGACCCCCGUCUCCCGUUCCAGCUUGGGUUUCCAGCACAGACUCUUCUAGCACGGAGCUUUUGGUUUUCUAACACAGGCCGUGCAGGGACUCUGCAGCCCUCAACCUUCGCCUGCAUCGCCUGGCUCCCUAGCAUGCAGAGGGUCAUCUGCAUCUUCCACCCUGCUUCACGGGCGGCCACUGUGGGCCUACCUUGUACAUCCUUUAUACAAUCGUGUGUAUGCAUGAGUGCACAUGUAUGCAUACAUGAAACCAGCUCCUCAAGGGAACCCUGGCUGGUACAAGCACCAACCGCACACCAGACAUGGUACCAGGCACCAGGAACUGGUGCUGAACAAGACAGUCUGCACAGAGGACUGAACCCUCCUCCACCCCUCGUGGUCGUCGUGCUGUCCCCACCCUCUGCCAAGAGCAAGCUGGGAAAAGACAGGAACUGUGGGAAGAGAUGGUGAUGGUGACGAUGAUGAAGGUGACGGUGACGAGGCCGACCUAGCGCUGUUUCUCCCCGCCUGACCCAGCACAGCUCCCUCCGCAGCUGUCCUGGCUGCAGCCCCUGAGCUCUGUGCCCGCUGAGAGGCAGCCGACACCCCCGACCUCCGCAGAAUAACCACGGGGCCUACUGUUUGCUAAGUGCCGACCGUGUGCCUGGCUCGGAUUCAGCAUCUUCUUGCUCUCUCCUUGCAGCCCGACAGCCUCCCACUUCCACAGGAGACAAGCGUUCACGUCACGUCUGUGCUGCAGGUAAGAUAAGAAUCCACCGAGAGCUGUAAUCUCGGCACUCUGGGAGACUGAGGCAGGAGGGCUGCAAGUUUGAGUCUGGCCUGUCUCAAGACUAGGAAGGAGGAAGAGUAGGGGAAGCAAAAGAGGCAAAAAGAGGAGGAGG